This 531-nucleotide ribosomal RNA is filed under the name uncultured bacterium. Its description in RNAcentral is "bacterial SSU rRNA". It matches the Rfam family "Bacterial small subunit ribosomal RNA", at positions 355 to 896 of the family's 1533-position model. The record is from RNAcentral.
UGGGGAAUAUUGCACAAUGGGCGCAAGCCUGAUGCAGCGACGCCGCGUGGGGGAUGACGGCCUUCGGGUUGUAAACUCCUUUCGCCAGGGACGAAGCGUUUUGUGACGGUACCUGGAGAAGAAGCACCGGCUAACUACGUGCCAGCAGCCGCGGUAAUACGUAGGGUGCAAGCGUUGUCCGGAAUUACUGGGCGUAAAGAGCUCGUAGGUGGUUUGUCACGUCGUCUGUGAAAUUCCACAGCUUAACUGUGGGCGUGCAGGCGAUACGGGCUGACUUGAGUACUGUAGGGGUAACUGGAAUUCCUGGUGUAGCGGUGAAAUGCGCAGAUAUCAGGAGGAACACCGAUGGCGAAGGCAGGUUACUGGGCAGUUACUGACGCUGAGGAGCGAAAGCAUGGGUAGCAAACAGGAUUAGAUACCCUGGUAGUCCAUGCCGUAAACGGUGGGCGCUAGGUGUAGGGGCCUUUUGGGGUUUCUGUGCCGUAGCUAACGCAUUAAGCGCCCCGCCUAGGGAGUACGGCCGCAAGGCUA